Long non-coding RNA from Pistacia vera, 247 nucleotides. RefSeq lists it as uncharacterized. The record is from RefSeq and is a predicted model, not a curated record. The transcript has 3 exons. NCBI's taxonomy places the organism in Eukaryota, Viridiplantae, Streptophyta, Magnoliopsida, Sapindales, Anacardiaceae.
GUAAGGUGCCUUUUUCUAGGUUACAACCUUCCAUUUAGCGUGUUUGAGAAUUCUGUGGCGAUAUCAACGAGUGAAGUUCUAAGAAGUUAUUGAAGCCAUCUCUUUACUCAAGAAAAUCAUCUAAGGUAGUUCAUCACUUUUCAAGUCAAAACUCUUGCUUCUUCAAGAUAAUACUUCUGACGUCAAAUUUGUCUCCUCAAGGUACUGCUUCACAUAUUAAACUAUCUUAUGAUAUUUUAAUGCCAUA